This 253-nucleotide ribosomal RNA is filed under the name uncultured bacterium. RNAcentral describes it as "partial 16S ribosomal RNA". It matches the Rfam family "Bacterial small subunit ribosomal RNA", at positions 524 to 776 of the family's 1533-position model. The record is from RNAcentral.
UACGAAGGGGGCUAGCGUUGCUCGGAAUCACUGGGCGUAAAGGGUGCGUAGGCGGGGCUUUAAGUCAGGGGUGAAAUCCUGGAGCUCAACUCCAGAACUGCCUUUGAUACUGAGGAUCUUGAGUUCGGGAGAGGUGAGUGGAACUGCGAGUGUAGAGGUGAAAUUCGUAGAUAUUCGCAAGAACACCAGUGGCGAAGGCGGCUCACUGGCUCGAUACUGACGCUGAGGCACGAAAGCGUGGGGAGCAAACAGG